RNAcentral lists this ribosomal RNA (77 nucleotides) under uncultured organism. Its description in RNAcentral is "partial 16S ribosomal RNA". The record is from RNAcentral.
UGGGCUUGACAUGCCAGGGUCGUACCCCGGUGGAAACACUGGGGGAGCACAGAGUUUUACUCUGUGCGCUCUGGCAC